AAGCUCGUAGUUGAAUUUCGAACGAGGCUGGACGGUCCGCCUCACGGUGUGUACUGUCUGGCCGUGUUCUCUUUCUUGAUGAGCCAGCAUGCUCUUAACUGGGUGUGUUGGGGAACCAGGACGUUUACCUUGAGAAAAUUAGAGUGUUCAAAGCAGGCCUACGCCCGGAUACAUUAGCAUGGCAUAAUAAAAUAGGACGUGCGGUUCUAUUUUGUCGGUUUCUAGAGUCGCCGUAAUGAUUAAUAGGGAUAGUUGGG
RNAcentral lists this ribosomal RNA (257 nucleotides) under uncultured Basidiomycota. RNAcentral's name for it is "partial 18S ribosomal RNA". It matches the Rfam family "Eukaryotic small subunit ribosomal RNA", at positions 624 to 886 of the family's 1831-position model. The record is from RNAcentral. Lineage: Eukaryota; Fungi; Basidiomycota.